GACGAACGCUGGCGGCGUGCUUAACACAUGCAAGUCGAACGGAAAGGCCCUGCUUGCAGGGUGCUCGAGUGGCGAACGGGUGAGUAACACGUGGGUGAUCUGCCCCUUACUUUGGGAUAAGCCUGGGAAACUGGGUCUAAUACUGGAUAGGACCAUGCUGUAGGUGGUGUGGUGGAAAGAUUAGUUUCGGUAAGGGAUGAGCUCGCGGCCUAUCAGCUUGUUGGUGGGGUAAUGGCCUACCAAGGCGUCGACGGGUAGCCGGCCUGAGAGGGUGGACGGCCACAUUGGGACUGAGAUACGGCCCAGACUCCUACGGGAGGCAGCAGUGGGGAAUAUUGCACAAUGGGCGCAAGCCUGAUGCAGCGACGCCGCAUGGGGGAUGACGGCCUUCGGGUUGUAAACUCCUUUCAGCCAUGACGAAGCCCUUGUGGUGACGGUAGUGGUAGAAGAAGCACCGGCUAACUACGUGCCAGCAGCCGCGGUAAUACGUAGGGUGCGAGCGUUGUCCGGAAUUACUGGGCGUAAAGAGCUCGUAGGUGGUCUGUCGCGUCAUUUGUGAAAGCCCGGGGCUUAACUCCGGGUUGGCAGGUGAUACGGGCAUGACUGGAGUACUGUAGGGGAGACUGGAAUUCCUGGUGUAGCGGUGAAAUGCGCAGAUAUCAGGAGGAACACCGGUGGCGAAGGCGGGUCUCUGGGCAGUAACUGACGCUGAGGAGCGAAAGCAUGGGUAGCGAACAGG
This 739-nucleotide ribosomal RNA is filed under the name uncultured Corynebacterium sp. Its description in RNAcentral is "bacterial SSU rRNA". It matches the Rfam family "Bacterial small subunit ribosomal RNA", at positions 28 to 776 of the family's 1533-position model. The record is from RNAcentral. Lineage: Bacteria; Bacillati; Actinomycetota; Actinomycetes; Mycobacteriales; Corynebacteriaceae.